AGUGUUUCCUAGAGCCAUCUGCUGACAACACGAACAUUGGGCAUCUGACAGAGGAGAAAUAUUUAUAAGGUUUAGCUCCAGUAUCACAGGCAGAGCAAUGGAGGAUGGAUUUGGAGCUGCAAGGCAAUAAACUGGUAACUGAACAAAACCAGUCCAAGAAGAUUGUAUAUAAGAGACACCUGAUAAUUUCAAAAUCCUAGGCCCACUUCCUGAGCUGAGCAAGCAUGCAACCUCAAAGAGAAAAGUUUGAGGAAAUCACUUCAAGGACAAAAAAUUGCAAUGUAAAGAGAAUUAUUUAUCUCCAAAUUCCAGAUUACCCCCCUGCCCAACCCCUGCCAGCAGCACCGUCCACAUGGUUUCUCAUUUAGUUUUGUGUUAGUUUAACAAAGUAGACUCUGCAAUCUGGAUAAAAUAGUAAGUCACCUCAGGUAGGUGCCAAUAGGAUGCUCCUUUGGACAUUGCAGAUUUUAAGUACUGUCUUUUUAUAAUACAGGAGGCAUGUACAAGUCUGUCAUAUGUGGAAAUGUUGUGAACCCAUCAUAUAUACAAUGUGCUGUUUUAGAAGAUAGAUUGUCCAUUUAGGUGUGUUAUAACAACCUAGAUGGGAAGUUACUUUCCGGUGUGUUCAAAGUUCCUUAUCUGAUUCUGCAGAGGCUGGGAUCUGAGCAGGUCACUCUAUCUCUGGAGGCCUGUUACUUGAUGAUAAAUACUAAUAAACAUCUCCCGUCAGACAUCUCAUCUUUUUGUGGAUUCCUGUAGUACUCUUACCCUUUCUACAAACAUGUAAAUACCAUCCAUUGAUAUAAUUUUUUUUUUUUUUUCUUUUGAGAGAGAGUCUCCCUCUGUUGCUCAGGCUGGAGUGCAGUGGCACGAUUUCGGCUCACUGCAAGCUCUGCCUCCCGGGUUCGCGCCAUUCUCCUGCCUCAGCCACCUGGGUAGCUGGGACUACAGGCGCUCGCCACCACGCCUGGCUAAUUUUUUGUAUUUUUAGUGGAGACGCGGUUUCACCGUGUUAGCCAGGAUGGUCUGGAUCUCCUGACCUCGCGAUCCGCCCGCCUAUAUAAUAUUCUUAUUUAACCCUUGGUUAAUAUAUUGGCAUCAGUUUGUUUUAACAACAAUAACAUAAUUAUCCCUAAUAAUCAGCAUUAUAAAAGCUAUCAUAAUCGCUUACAUAACUACAACUAUUAUCUAGACAAUAAUAGGUUAGAUUAAUAAGAAUUCAGUGUUAUUCAACACAUUGCUAAAAUGUUUCCAUGUACUUUUAUCUUAUAAGCUAAAUCUUAGGAGCUGUUACUCCUGGAAUAGAACAAUAUUUCAUUAAUAUAUUUAAAAUUUUAAAUUAGUAAACAUUUUUCUGAGAGAUUCUGAUUCUAUGGAGAAAAAAUAAUGUGAUCAAGAAUUUCUAUUGCUGGAAACAAACUAACAAAUCAUUUAGUUCGAAAGCCCCUCUUACAAAUGCAGGAACUGAGCUGAUUGACUCUUCAUUUAAUGAUAAUACUAUUAACAGGUAAUGCAGUUUUGAAGGAAAGCACAGGCUGAAUACAGAAAUCUCUUUCCAAGAGGUGGUGAGUCUUUACGACAAUUGAAUACGUGUUAUUUUUAUUCACUAAAAUUUGGCUAAGAUUGAAAGGGUAAACUUUGUGGGUCUUUCAGGAGAUCUUUUACUAAAAUAAGUAGGGCCUUAAUCACUGCUGAAUGAACUUUGUACAGAAUGGGCCCACAGGCCUCAUCUGUUGUAGCUGGGAUUGCUUUGAGAGAAGUGGAUUUGUUGAAAAGUGGAUGGAAGAACACAGGAUUUAGAAUUGGCAUAUUUGACUAUAGCUUCUGCAUCCACCUAUCUCUGCGCUAUAGAAAUGAUUAAAGAGAAGUGGGAAAAAUUCAUAAACUUUAUGAUUAUUUUUAAUUUUAAGGAGGACAUGGGACCUUUAUUAAAAAAAAUAUUCCCAUAUAUGAAAGAUUCUUAUUUCUAUAAUGGGGAAAUGGCGAGACUAUGAAAAAAAAAAAACAAAUAUGUAAUUGAACUUUAAUGUAUAAUACCAAAAUAAACUAUAGGUCACCUUUGGCAGUAUAUAUGUUUAAAAAUAAUUUCGACGUUUAAAAUGCCUUAAGAGAGGACCAUUAAGGUCAGAUUGAGAAGAUAAAAGAAUUGAUCUUUUAGGGUGCCAUUCUACUCUAUAGCUCUGUAAUUUCUAUGGUUAUGAUGGUUCUCUUUUGUUAAAUAAGGACUUAUAGAAAUUAUUUAUUUUAUCUGUUUGUAUUUAUUUAUUUGCCUGUUGGUACUAGUCAACUGCUUCCCCUUACUUCCCUCCACUUGCUACAACUAAUCAAAUGUCAUAUUUUAAGAUUAUUUACCAAGGUUGCUUUAAAUUUUUGUCUCCUUUUUAAAGUGUGAAAAUUAUUUAUUUUAAAGUUAGCAUUCAUUUCAUUAUUCCUUCUUUAAUAAAGUAUUUAUUGGCCGGGCACAGUGGCUCACACCUGUAAUCCCAGCACUUUGGGAGGCUGAAGCGGGUGGAUCACAAGGUCAGGAGUUCGAGACCAGCCUGGCCAACAUGGUGAAACCCUGUCUAUACUAAAAAAACAAAAAUUAGCUGGGUGCAGUGGUGCACCCCUGUAAUCCCAUCUACGCAGGAGGCUGAGGCAAAAUCGCUUGAACUCGGGAGACAGAGGUUGCAGUGAGCCGCGAUCACGCCACUGCACUCCAGCCUGGAUGACAGAGCGAGAUUCUGUCUCCUCCGUCUCAAAAAAAGAAAAUAAUAAAUAAAUAAAUAAAUAAAUAAAUAAAUAAAUAAAUAAAUUCUUUAUUGAAUGAUGGAAUUCAUGUACUUCCAAAGUUCUGAGAGGCAAAACAUGGUGAUGGCUGAUUCUUUGCCUGUAAUAUCUUGCUAUGUUAUCAAAGCAAGUCAAAUAUAUAAUUAUAAUAUAGUUUAAGAAGUGCCGUAAUAGAUGAACAGUACUACUAUGGGAAUUCUGAAGAAAGGAAUGCAAAUCGGACAGGGGGAAGAGAAAAUGUUUUCUGUUUCUGAAUAGCCAGGGAUAUUUAUGACAUUGGACUGAUAAAUGCAGAGAUCUCAUUCAUGCCUCCCUGAGCUAACAUGUAUGUUUCCCUUACUACUAUGCAAACUUCAAGAAGGGAAACGUUUUCUACAGUAUCUAGAAUAGUUUUUUGCAUAGAGUAGACAUACAUGAAACAAUGAUACACAUUAAUUACUUUCUCAGUAAGCUUGAUAAAAUGGAAGAUGCUCAAUAACAGUUCAGUUUCUUGUCCCUUGAGAAGUGGUGCAUGAAUUGUAGCCUGGGUAAGUUUCAUGUCUUUGUAUGCUUUUGUUUCUUUUUUAUGUCUAAAUAGUAAAUCAGGAGGAAUUUCUUGGAUAUGCUGGUGGUUAAGACUUGAUUCUUUGGUUUUAAUAAUGUUAAUAUAUUGAGGUUUAGUUGUGACUGAAUAUAAAAUUCAUUGUUUUUAACUUAAAACUUUAAAAUCAAAUUGCAGAAGCCUUGGCCAAGGAAUAAUUGUAUAAAAUACAGUGUCUGAACUUGCAAGCUGUUCUUUUAUCUGAUUUGUGAACAUUUAUUAACAUGACCUUAUGUAUUAGAAUGUCCUAUACAAACAUGUCAAACAAUCAAAAUUCAAAGCUUUUCAUUUUCAAAAGCUGCCUAAAAUGCCACUCUCUCUAGACAAUCACCCUGGAAGUAAUGGUCUCUUCUCUGAACCAUCAUAAUUCUCUGGUUCUUUCAAGAAAGAGUUAAAUGCUUUCCAGUAGUUUCUUUCUGAUCUUGAUUGUUCUCAGGGGUCUCCUCAGAGUUAUUUUAUAUAUUUUCCUUGAAAUUUUAAAGAGUUAUUUGUGGAUGAAUUCUCAUAGAAUAUAUUUAAUUAUGGAGGUUCUCAUUAUGCUUCAUACAUGGGAAGUAAUUCUGAAACAAAGAAAGUAAAAGGCCGUAAACUCUCUAUGGGCUGCUUUAUUAAUCAAAGGAGAUAUAGAAUUAACCCAUUAGAAGUACUCUACUUUCUCUGAGGGGAACUUCUUUGUUCUGUAGAUUGGUAUAUAAAUUGAAAUGUAAUUAUUUGCUCAGUUUUAUUAACAUAUUUAAAAAGUAAUUGAAUAUUUGCAGAUGAGAGAGAAAGAA
RNAcentral lists this long non-coding RNA (4122 nucleotides) under Homo sapiens (human). RNAcentral's name for it is "non-protein coding MIR99AHG:37". Lineage: Eukaryota; Metazoa; Chordata; Mammalia; Primates; Hominidae. The record is from RNAcentral.